GAUGGGACUACCCUUCAUUCGGGCCAUG
Molecule: non-coding RNA, 28 nt
Filed under: Rattus norvegicus (Norway rat)
Lineage: Eukaryota; Metazoa; Chordata; Mammalia; Rodentia; Muridae
Source: RNAcentral